Molecule: long non-coding RNA, 6017 nt
Filed under: Lactuca sativa (garden lettuce)
Lineage: Eukaryota; Viridiplantae; Streptophyta; Magnoliopsida; Asterales; Asteraceae
Description: long non-coding RNA (LSAT_LNC008968)
Source: RNAcentral
UUUUUUUUUUUGUAGAUCCAAUGUUUCAGAAAACUGUGGGAAGGGUACCAUCACAUUCAGAUUUUGAGAUGAUUAAAAAGAUGAUGGAGUUCCUUGAGAAGUUUAAGAAGAAAACUGAAAAAGUUUCGUGUUCAACAAAGCCUAUCUUCCAUACGUAUACCCGGGAGAUCCUAGAUAUAGAGCAACAUCUUAGGAAACAUGAAACCAACCCGGAUUUUAUGUUUAUGGUACCGGAUAUGAAAGAUAAAUAUGACAAAUAUUGGGGUGACUAUGAUACUAUAAGUGAUUAUGUCUUCUUUGCGACAUUGUUAGAUCCUCAAUGCAAGUCAAAGUUUAUGAAAGUUGUUUUUACCCAAAUGCUUAAAGCCAAGAACAAAGAUAAAAAGAUGUCCGCUGAUGAGAUAGAAUCCAAAGCACGUGCAAAGGUUAUUGAUAUCGAAUGCAAAUUGGACAAGUUUUUCAAGACAUACUUGGAAAGGUCAAACAUGACCUCAUCGUCUCAACAAGAAACUCCCGAAGAAGUUGUUAAUUUUGAUGACGAAAAUGAAUUCUUUGGAAGCUAUAUGACUUCGGGAAGUUUCCCCUCGACAUCAUCAGAAAGUCAAUUGCAACGAUACUUAAACGAGGACCCAAUCGGAUUUGACAAAGGAUAUGAUAUCCUCACAUGGUGGAAAAAUAAUGCAGUGCGGUUCCCGAUCGUUGCUCGAAUGGCAAGAGGUAUCGACCUUCUUUUACUCUAAUUUAAAUUUUUAAUUUAUAAAUUUGUGUCGUGUAUUAUACACUAAUUUGUUUAUUAAUAGAUAUUUUGGGGAUGCAAAUUUCCACCGUAGCAUCCGAAUCCACAUUCAGUAACGGUCGUCGAGUAAUUACCGACUACCGUACUAAUUUGUCCGUUGUGAUUGUGGAGUCAUUGAUAUGCACUCAAGAUUGGCUAAGAAAGAGUAGCUUGCCUAUAUAUGACUACGACGAAGUGCAUGAUGUGUUAGCUGACGAUGACCUUGCUAUCGGUAAUACACUAAUACUUGUUACAUCUUAUUUUUAACUUCUUAUUAGUAUUUGUUACAUUUUAGUAAGUAAUAACAUUUUUCUUUUGUAUUAUAUAUAGACAUUGUGGAUGCUAUACACAACUUGAAGCUAACGGUGAAGAGAUCGGGGAAUUAGUCAAAAUGUCAAAAAAAUGUUGGAAUCCACAUAUUAGACUUUGUUUUUUUUUUGUUGGCGAAACUUGGAAGUAUAUUUUGAAGUGUGUUUUGAAUGUUGAAUGUUUGAAUGUUGGAUACUUAAUAACAUAACUUUGACGACAUCAAUGUUUAAUUUGCUUGUAAUAAUUUAAAUAAAAGAUCCAUGGUUAAUUUGCUUGAAUGUUGAAUCGUUUAUUAAAAUGUUGAUUAUUUACUAGUAUUUAAACAUCCACUUCUUCAUAAAAAACCAAUAAAACGCAAAGUAAUUUAGUCGUUGGAAUUACUCGAAAAACCGGCAAAAAUCGGACCCGAAAAACCAAUAAAACGCAAAGUAAUUUAGUCGUUGCAUACAUCAAAAUUUAGCCGGUUCCAAACUCGAAAAACCGGACCCGGCACCGGAACCGGUAGAACCGCCGGGCCGGUUCGGUUCUACAUUUUGGCCGAAUCCGGUUCCCCGGUCCGGUUCGGUUCGGGCCGGUUCCGGCCGGUUCGGUUCUUUUGCUCAUCCCUAGUUAAAAUUAACAGCAAAAAACGCAUACAGCAACCACAAUAAAAUCAUAUAGUUUAUGUUUUCAAAAACCGUAAAUUUGCGGUGUGGUGCGGUUAUUAGUUUUCAAAAACUGCAAAAAAACUGCACCGCAUAAUAUUAUAUACAAUUUUUUUAUUAAUUAUUAAUAUAUUAAAUAUUAAAAAUAAGACAAGUUUCAUAGAUGGAAUAUGAAUAAAAAUACUAGAAGAUAAAAGUAUUGGUUUUUUGUUAUGUUUAACUUUGAAAAAUAGUGAAAUUAGACAAUUUUAAAGAUAUUUAUUGUUAAUUACAAUUGAUUUGAGGUUUUUAAGAUAUUAGUUGUUUGUGAUUUAAGUUAAUUGUCUUAUACCUUAUGUUCUUUUAUUAUUAUAAGUAAUAUGUUUGAAUUCUUAAAACCGUUUGAGCUCUAAACUAUGGUUAAAAAACACACAAAAUAACUACACCAAAUCCAUGCAGUGAAUAACUGCAAAAAAAAAAAAAAANCGCACUGUAAAAAUAACCGUCUAACUGCACCACAACAAUAACCGCACCAAACGGUUUUGAAAAUGGAUUAACCGCAUUUGCGGUUAGUGGUGAGGUUUUAGCUAGUAACCGCACUGAACUGCAUCACGCUCAUCCCUAGGUUGGGUGGAGUAGUAAUGGGGGUGGUAGGACCCAUCAUAUUUUAAUAUUUAAUUAAUAUCAUUUCCAUAUUUAAUUAAUAUUUUUAAUUAAUUUAUAAUUUAAAAAAUGUAAAAGAACCCAUAAGGGUAAAUGAAUCUUUUUAGAACGGAUAAGGACCAAACGUUCAACAAAAAUAUAAAAUAAGGAUAAUCCAAAUUAAAAACAAUUGUUAGGGACCAAACACACAGAUUACCCUAAAUUAUAUGGACCAUCCAUGUAAUUUAUCCUAAACCACGGACGACAUGGACCACCCCUACCCAAGGUAGAAGGUAGAAGAAGAGAUGAAUGUUGUUCUUGGGAAUCCGUUAAUUGAGAAAGAAGUAUUUGAAGUUGUUGAAUGAUAUUGGCACAAUGUUCUCGCCAAAAUCAAUUUGGGUAAAAUUCAAAUCUUUAGUAUUAAAUUGUUGCAAAUUGAUCUUACCUUGUAGAAAAUCGAUUUAAUCUUAUUAGAUUUGAAAAUUAUGAUGUAGGGUGGGGUUACCCACAACAUGAAUGAUAUGGGCAAGUGAUUGCUCUCGCUAAGUCAAUUUGGGUAAAAUUCAAAUCUUUAGUUCACAACCGAUUUUGGUGUAUAUAUGUAACGUACAUUAGCAUGAAUAUUACUGCAAUCGUUUGGUUUCAGGUGAUUGAUUUUGGAUCUUUGAAAAAAAAAAUGUGAUUAUUUUGUCUUCAUAAAAUUAACAUCUGAGCUAUACACCAUAUGCAAAACUUUCAACUUUUAAUGAUAGUGUAUAAUAAGGUUAAGCAACAUGUCUGGACAUUGAGCAUUGUGUUAAUCCUAGCCUUAUGCCCUUAUCAGAUCCUACACAAGAAUGGGUGACUUCGGGUUGUUUCUAGUGGUGAACAUCUAUACAAAUAUCGGAUCUAGUGGUGAAUCCUGGUGUCCAACUUAAUUGACGUGACAAAUUAAUGUGUCAGAAAAAGUUUGGUUAUUAGAUAAUAUGUGGCAAGUUUUAUGAUAAGAAAAUUUACUAAAUUUACUUCACAUACAUUAGCGUGAAUAUUUUGACAUUGUUAUGCUUUUAAUACAUGUAAAUAAAUUAUUGUGGUUUAGGUUUUUGCUAUUACAAUUUACAUAUGGUUGUACAAAUUGAAGAAAUGUUGGUUUUACUUUUACAUGCUAGAAAUAAGAAGGUUGGAGGUCUCCAACAUUGUACGAGUAAUCAAAUCAAUUUUUUUCCGGAGAUUUGUCCACGAGGGUAGUUUAGUCAUUUACCCUUUUAGCAAGCACGUUGGAGUCUUGGAGUCCCAUGGUGCCUUCUGUUAUGCUUGUUUUUGUUGAUGUAAUUGUUUCUAGAUUACUAGUGUUUCCAAUUUGUGUUGUAUCUUUAGGGAAGUAUUUAUAGAUAUGUAUGUAUAAAUGAUCAGUUUUCACAGGGAUAAAUAUAAGCAUAACCACAUAUUUUGAUUAUCUAUUUAAACUACAAUUGCUCAUUGUUACAACUUCUUCUUUAUUUUUAUUUUUUAUUUUUUAUUUUAUUUAUUUAUUAUUUUUUUUUUUAUUUUUAGAAUUGGUCUUUAAUACAAAAUUACAGAAUUGGUACCUGUGUAGAUAUUUUUUUUUACAGAUUUAAUCCAUGGCAGAAAAACAUUAUAAAAAUGGUCCUUAUGUAGAAUAACAUUACAGAAUGGCCCCUGUUGCAGAAAACAAAUUACAGAAUUGGUACCUGUGUAGCAAAAAAUUUACUUAGUUGGUCCCUGUGGUAGAAAAACGUUACAGGGACCAAUUCUAUAUUAUAAGUAAUCUGAUUAGGGAUUUUCUUUUUGGAACGAAUCUGUCAAGGGAUUUAAUUUGGUAGGGUAUUUUGGUAAACUCAUACUAUAUAAUUUCAAAAUUUAGAUAAUUUAUUUAAUAUAAAAUCGAUAUAAUCCUAAUUAAAAAAAAGAUUUUGAAUAUAGAUGUAAUUUUUAUAAUUUUAGAUGAAUAGACACGGUAAAAAAACAGCUGUAGUGAUUGAAGAGUUCUGACAAUGGUAACGACUGUUUAUCGGAGAAGGAGAGAGAAAAAAUGGCGGCCGGCGACGGUUCCUUUUUGUAAGAAGAAAGGAGUGGCAGUGAUGACGAUCAUGGAGUCGACAACAGAUGAAUGCGGAGAAAAGCAGUGAGAAAGAAAGAGGGCCCGAGCUGCGGCGGACAUAGUCUAUUAUGGACGACUCAGAAAAUAGAAGAGGUGAGCUAAGGAGAAAGCAAAAGGCUCGGAGGUAGGGGUCAUCCGAGGAGGAGACAUAUGAAAACGAGGUAGUUGAAGAAGUCGAAGAAAAAGCUUUGUUUGGUGCCGAAGCCUGUUUUAUUAUUUAGGAGGAGAAAAAAAGAAAGGGAAAAAUAUGAAGCAUAAUGAAGGCACCUCCGAUGACUUUGAGAGAAUGUCGCCGGAAGUGGAAGGCGGCGACUGCGGGUUGUGGUCCGCAAUAUGAUUUUAACCUAGAACUCUGAUAAUAUGUUAUAUAAUAGGUUGAUUGAUUAAUAGUAAAGGUUAAACCUCCUAUAAAUAUUGAUAAAUAAGGGGCCACUUGUCUAACCUAAAUCCUAAACUUUCGGCCUAAAGCCUAAAUGCUAAUAUAUUAACACUUACUUAUCUAUCACAUUACAAGAAAUCACCAAGAUUCUAAAGUUUAUCCAAUCAAAUAACUUACCCACAUAAUUACAAUUUGACACUUUACAUUUGUGAUUUGUAUUUGACACUUUACAUUUGUGAUUUGUAUUUGAUACUUGAAAUCAAAAUAUGAACAUUUGUUUUGUUUGUUGAAUAUUAAUAUUUAUUUUUGUAGUCGUAAAUAAUGAUUUGGUUUCGGGUACAAAAAUUGAAUUUCAUUUGUAAAUUUUGUUAUAGAAUAGCGGCUAAUAGAUCGUCGCUAAUUUCACAUAAUAAACAACGGAUUAACCAUGAAAUCCAUUGGUUCCUAAGCUAAUCCACGAAGGAUUAAAAACAAAAAUUAGCAACAAAAUCCCGAGGUUUCCUGAGCAAUUUGCGUUAUCGCUAGUCCGUCGUAAUUUGUCGCUGAAUCCCUCGUUGACCAUUAAGGACAAAUGUUUUUUCGACGGACAAUUCCGUACCUGAUAGCCUUCCGACAGAUUCGCGACGGAAUUGUCCGUCGGGACACCUCUGUUUCUAAGAGUGUGAUUGGGUGUUGUAGUCUUGUAGAUAUACUCAUAUAAAUAAAAAGAAAUAAACUGCAAAUAAGAUUCAACAAUAAAGAUAUGAAAAAUGAUCAUUGUUCAAACAAUAUUUUUAUUCGGCAUAUGAAGAUAAAUUACAGAAAAAGAAAAGUCAAAGAAUCAUAACCACAUGGAUACAAUGAUUGAUCAUAAGUUAAGAAACUGCACGAAAGCUUAGACCAAACUUGAAUCUUGUAUAACGAAGAUCAACUAGCAACGAUGUACAUAGUAGGUGCGACGUGGCUGGGGAAGGCAGACAGAUAUUAGCACAAGAACAAUUACUAGCAUUAGUAGAAUCCCCUUGAUAUCUGUUUCUUCACUUUCAAAGCAACAGCAGCUUGCCAUCUCUUAGUUUGAUUGGGGUGUUUCUUCUUCCAAAAUGAUUCGAUACAACUGGUAGUUAAAAGAGACAAGAGGGUUGACUAGUUGUAGGUCAACAAGUUGCGUUUCCAUUGUCUUGUUUGCUAGUGUCAGUAGGUAUCUUUGUG